This 2181-nucleotide long non-coding RNA is filed under the name Homo sapiens (human). RNAcentral describes it as "HSALNT0059435". The record is from RNAcentral. Lineage: Eukaryota; Metazoa; Chordata; Mammalia; Primates; Hominidae.
CUGUCCGGUCCAGCCAUGUCACAAUGGGCGUGAGAAAACUCAAGAUUUUCAGUGCCCUUCACAAAGGAGAAAUGACAGGAGAGGGUAACAUCAGUGAAUGGGUGGGCCCGCAGCUCCUCUGUAGACACCGAGAAUGUCAAAGAAGAAAUGAAGUUAAUAAAGACCAAUCAGCACUGCAUCAGGAACAAGAGGCCGGGUGUGGUGGCUCACACCUGUAAUCACAGCACUUUGGGAGGCCGAGGCGGAUGGAUCACCUGAGGUCAGGAGUUUGAGACCAGCCUGGCCAACAAGGUGAAACCCCAUCUCUACUAAAAAUACAAAAAAUUAGCCAGGCAUGCAUCGUGGCGGGCUCCUGUAAUCCCAGCUACUCGGGAGGCUGAGGCAGGAGAAUUGCUUGAACCUGGGAGGUGGAGGUUGCAGUGAGCCCAGAUUGCACCACUGCACUCCAGCCUGGGCAACAAGAGUUAAACUCCAUCUGAAAAAAAAACAAACAAAACAAAAACCAGGAACAAGAAAAAAGAAAAACAACAAAGACAGAAAAAAAAAUCAUAUACUACUAAAGACAAGUAUAAACUAUCCCAAAACAGAAAAUUCUAGCAGUGCACACAGAUUUUGCAUUGUACCCUUUUCACCUCUGGUUUGUAGAAAAACAAUGAGAACUCUAAUGAACCAGCUCUAGGUGGCAACAAAGUGUAAAGGGAAUGUAGAUACCUCAACACUUCAGUUACAUUGUCAGUCAUUUGACUCUCCAGUUUACAAACACAGUCAACAAUUUCUCCCCAAUAAAUUGUCUCUUUAUCAAAAGAGCUUACUUGUAUUACAGCUGGUUCCUCUGAUCCACCAGGUGAGAAGCAAGUGAGGUGGAGUCAGCAUGUCUUUGAAGGGACACUUGUUGAUGUCCCCAGGGAAAGUGCUUGGUGAUACUGUUAUUACCAAACUGUUGCUAUAAAAGCUCAGCAAAGAGCUCCAUGAGACUUAAUAUUUCAAUGGCUGUAUUUGUUAGCUAAAAAAAGUGUUUGCAAGGUAUUAUGGGAGAAGAGUGGAACAAAAGGAACUCCAUAAUUUUUCAAUGUUGGGGAAUUAUUCUGCACCUAUUUUUUCAAAGUAACAUAUUUGAAGAAUAAUUAAAUAACAUGGGAAUAAUGCUCACUAUACAACUUUUGGUAAAAAAAUUAAAAUAGAAAACUUAAUAUACAUAUACAUAUAUGUAUGAUUUCAACUUUGUGGGAAGAAAUAUGUACACAUAGGAAAAGAAAGAAAUACGCCAAAAUGUAAACCAUAGUUGUUUCUGGAUGGCGAGAGUGUGUGUGAUUUCAGUUGUUUUCCUUUCAUAUCUCUGAAUUUUCUAAAGUGACCUUUUACAUUUACAUUAAAAUAAAUACUUUGUAACUGAAAAAAUUAAGAAAUGAAGAGACUGACUUUAUACACAUAAUGUGGUACAGUGAGCGACAGUACAGGAAGGAGAGAGUGAGAUUUGUUCUUUACUCUCUACUUCUUAGGGAUAAGCAUGGUUUGUAUCUCCUGUUUGAAGCCUUUUCCAUUACCCUGGAGGCUCAAGUUCAGCAGUGGCCAAUUCUUUAUUAGGGAACCCUUCUCUCUCCAACCCCACAGCACAUGGGUUACAUCUGGGUCUGAGCUGGGUUGACCUAGUCCUGACACUCAGCACAGUCUAGGUAAAUGAUAGAGAAGGGUUUGAAGGAACGCUUCCCUUGGUAAAGAGACUUAUUACAACAGGGUAAAUAAGAAGAAGACAAGAAUAGGAGGCCUGUUGCUGGGAAUGGGUGCCAGAGGCAGCUUCUCCCUAAGUUCCUCACCCCAUCAGACUAUGAAUGAAGCAGUUAGUUCCUGGUUUUGCAUCUCCAGGUCCUCUCAGUUUCUCAAAUCACUUUUAGUGGCUGAGUGAAGGAAACAACUAUGCAGUUUCAAAAUAAAGCUAUAUCCAUUAACACAACGUAUUGAAGAAUUUUUGUUUUGGAUUUGUUGUUUAGCCCUGGUUUUGUUUUGGUUUUCUCAAGAAAACAACUGGAAUAUAACGGAAUGAAAUAAUUAUGACCAGUUUGUGUCACUUCUCGAAUUCAUACUAUGGGGGCUGAGGCUUGACUUACAUUUGACUUUCACCUGAAGCAGAGGAGGAAUAUCUUGAUGCUAGCACAGUAUUGAGAAACCAUGAGGAAUACUUUG